CAUGGUGACCAGUGCUGUGAAGAGUGUCUGUCCUUCGUGAAGGUAGUGGAAGUGAAGUACUGCCGGGUCAGGAACAAGAUCUACCGGGAGGGAGACAUGUGGUCGUCUGUGAACUGCACCCUGUGUGCCUGUAUCAAUGGGGCCAUCGAGUGCCAGCCAAAGCAGUGUGUGCCAAUCAUCAGUUGCCCCUCG
Molecule: long non-coding RNA, 192 nt
Organism: Coregonus clupeaformis (lake whitefish)
Lineage: Eukaryota; Metazoa; Chordata; Actinopteri; Salmoniformes; Salmonidae
Exons: 2
Source: RefSeq, a predicted model, not a curated record